Long non-coding RNA from Motacilla alba alba, 733 nucleotides. RefSeq lists it as uncharacterized. Lineage: Eukaryota; Metazoa; Chordata; Aves; Passeriformes; Motacillidae. The transcript has 4 exons. The record is from RefSeq and is a predicted model, not a curated record.
GGACCUUAGAGGCCAUCCCAUUCCAGCCCCAUGCACUGCCAUGCCAUGUCCCCAAGUGCCACUUCUCAGACAAUCUCUGCCCAGAGAUGCUGGCAGAGCCUUGUCCACAGAAAGGAAUGAGGUACUCGCACCAGACAGCAGCCACAGGACACCGAAAUCUUUCAGAGAAAGAGAAUUUAUUGCUCCAUCAUCAGAAGAAACGAACUUCUUCCCGCCUCGCUCAGCCCUGGAGACGCCGUCAGGAUUCAGAGGAAGGAGCUGACACUGCCCAGCCAGAAUCCUUUGUUGGAAUGGAAUUUAUGCACCAUGGAUGAGAAAAGCCAUCAUCUGCUUUACGACCACUGUGAGGGAUGGACUGAGAUGGGAGAAGCCUCUCCCUCAAGGACUGAGACAUGAAACCCCAUAUGGAGGAGCUGCCCCCUCCCAAGGACUGAGACUGAAACCCCCAACCCAGGGGAGGGCGAGAGCCCACCUGACCAAAGCCAGAUUCUGCCAAGCACCACCUGAAGCUGCACCAAGAAGACAAUGGCUCUCGCUGACUGCUGAGAACAUGGAGUACCUGUUACAUCUGUUCUUUAUUGCACCUGUUUCCCCCCUCGCGAUUUUCAAUAGAGAAAGGAAUGAGGUACUCGCACCAGACAGCAGCCACAGGACACCGAAAUCUUUCAGAGAAAGAGAAUUUAUUGCUCCAUCAUCAGAAGAAACGAACUUCUUCCUGCCUCACUCAGCCCUG